AUGAAGGAGCGCGACGUGGCCCCGGCCGAGCGGGGCAAGCCGGCCACCUACACCGGGGACAAGAAGGCGAAGACGGCGGCCAAGACCAACAAGAAGUGGGUCCGGCUCGCCACCGUGUUCGCCCACGUGCUCUCCGUGUCGCUGGCCGCCAUCGUGCUCGCCGUCCACUACAGCCUCAUCUGGCAGCCGGUGGGUGCCGGGACCUCGGGGGGAGCCGCUGGCCCGCCCCCCGGCAGCUCCAACGCCACCGGCCCGUCCGUGACUUGGUGAGCGGCGGCGGUGGCGGGGCCCAACACCACCGGGUCGUCCCGCCGCGCGACGCUCCCCCACUGCAGGCGGCGCGUCCGGCGCCUCCGGAGCCCCCCGCGGACAGCCCCCCGGUCUGGCCGCUUGAGCGGCCUCGGGGGCCGGACGAGGACGAGGAGGAAGCGGCGGCGGCGCCCGGGAGUCGUUGAAGCCCUCGGCGCUGGGGGCGGCCGGGAACCAUCAUCCCCAAGCCCAGAGGAAGGACUUCGCAUCAGGAUGGGGUGGAGAGCCCGCAGGAGUGACCCCCACGGGAGUGAACGCCCCCCACACUCCUACCAUCGCCGGCUGGUCCCGGAGCUGGCGGCCCGCAGCCACAUCUUCAGCCAAGGGACCACGAUUCGCCGGGGGGCUGGGUGGCUGGGGGGCUGCUGCCCAGGACCGUGCGGCACAGGGCCCUGAGCCCUAGGGGGAUGGGGGAGGGGUGGGGAGAUCCCAGCACCAAAACCUUCUGCGCCGCUAGGUCUGGUGUAUCCUACAUGCAGGGGUGACUCGGGCUUUCCCCCAAGACUCAGGGGAAGGAGGGCGCUGUAGGAGCUCUUUUUAAGUAAGCUGAAGC
This is an RNA transcript of Cebus imitator (Panamanian white-faced capuchin), 862 nucleotides long. It is a transcript of the gene named putative transmembrane protein INAFM2, with no coding region annotated. NCBI's taxonomy places the organism in Eukaryota, Metazoa, Chordata, Mammalia, Primates, Cebidae. The transcript has a single exon. The record is from RefSeq and is a predicted model, not a curated record.